AUUUUUAUAGAGAUUAAAAAAUAAAUUAUAUUUUAUAUAAAAAUAUAUAAGUAUUUUAAAAAGACGAUAAGACCCUAAAAGCUUUAUUAAAAAAACACAUAAGCGGUGUUUCGUGUGUUUUAUAAAUUAAUUGGGGUAAUUAUAAUAAUUAAUUUGUUAUUAAAAAAAAUUUUUUAAUGUAAUUGAUUUUUUAAAUAAGGAUUAUUUGAGUUAGUUACUUUAGGGGUAACAGCACAAUAAUUGUAUUUAGUUCAAAUAAAUAAAAUUGGUUGUGACCUCGAUGUUGAAUUAAUAUAAGAGCACAGUGUAGAAGAGUGUUUGAUAGGUUUGUUCACCCUUUAAAAAUUUACGUGAUUU
This 357-nucleotide ribosomal RNA is filed under the name Synopiidae sp. BOLD:ADF6294. Its description in RNAcentral is "partial 16S ribosomal RNA". The record is from RNAcentral. Lineage: Eukaryota; Metazoa; Arthropoda; Malacostraca; Amphipoda; Synopiidae.